AAACNAACAAGGAUUCCCCUAGUAACUGCGAGUGAAGAGGGAAAAGCUCAAAUUUAAAAUCUGGCAGCUUUGCUGUCCGAGUUGUAAUUUAGAGAAGUGAUGCCCGCGCUGGACCGUGUAUAAGUCUCCUGGAAUGGUGCGUCAUAGAGGGUGAGAAUCCCGUCUUUGACACGGACUCCCAGUGCAUUGUGGUACGCUCUCAAAGAGUCGUGUUGUUUGGGAAUGCAGCACUAAAUGGGUGGUAAAUUCCAUCUAAAGCUAAAUAUUGGCGAGAGACCGAUAGCAAACAAGUACCGUGAGGGAAAGAUGAAAAGAACUUUGGAAAGAGAGUGAAACAGUACGUGAAAUUGUUGAAAGGGAAACGCUUGAAGUCAGUCGCAUUGUCUGGGAAUCAGUCUUGCUUUUGCUUGAUGUACUUUCCAGUUAAUGGGUCAGCAUCAGUUUUGAUCGUUGGAUAAAGGCUGAAGGAAUGUGGCAUCUCCGGAUGUGUUAUAGCCUUCAGUUGCAUACAACGGUUGGGACUGAGGAAUUCAGCACGCCGAAAGGCCGGGUCUUGUACCACGUUCGUGCUUAGGAUGCUGGCAUAAUGGCUUUAUCGAC
RNAcentral lists this ribosomal RNA (600 nucleotides) under Cylindrobasidium sp. OTU47 TS-2013. RNAcentral's name for it is "eukaryotic LSU rRNA". It matches the Rfam family "Eukaryotic large subunit ribosomal RNA", at positions 62 to 648 of the family's 3401-position model. Lineage: Eukaryota; Fungi; Basidiomycota; Agaricomycetes; Agaricales; Physalacriaceae. The record is from RNAcentral.